This 2027-nucleotide long non-coding RNA is filed under the name Homo sapiens (human). Its description in RNAcentral is "HSALNT0370061". The record is from RNAcentral. Lineage: Eukaryota; Metazoa; Chordata; Mammalia; Primates; Hominidae.
GAGAAUCCCGGGUCUGCUAUGUGGCCGCAGCAUGGGCUGUGGUACCCAGUGGCAGAGGUGCUGCUUGGAUGGGCCCCAGUGGAAAUAUGGGAGGCAGUAACGGGUCUCCUGCGAGUGUGGAGAAGGCACUGAAGCAGCUGGAAGCUCACAGCACCAAGAAGGAAUGCACCUUCGCUGGCGGAGUCGGAUGAGCAUUUCUGACUGCACUAGGCAGAGUACAUGCUCAGUCCCACAGGUAAGGGACCUCCCAGCGCAAGCCACGUGCCUGGGGGCCCAAGUGCACAGCUUAGACCAGGACCUGGGGGUGGGGGACCUGCAGGCACAAGCAGGGCGCUUGGAGGCCCAGAUAAGCAGCCUGGAACAGGAGUUAGCAAUGGCUGUUAGUGCGAUCUUCAGCCAGUCGUCCCAGUCAGACACUUCUGUUGGAUCUGAUGCUAAGGAGGAGGGGCUCCUUCCCUGCGGGCUCGCCCUGUGAUCCGUCAGAAGGUAGAACAUGAGGAGCCGAUGGGACCCCAGGGGAGAGCCCAGGACCCCCCACAACAGUGGUGGAACACACUUCUUAUAGUGCUUAUACCCCCACUGAGUUGCAGGAGUUGAGUAAACAGUGUUGGCAGCGCCCAGGGGAGCCCCUGCCAGCCUGGCUACUCCGUUUUUGGGAUGAGGGGGCUGAUAGCAUUUCUUGCUCUGCCUCCGAGAUGGAGAAGCUGGCCUCUAUUACAACUCACUCCUCCCUUCGUCAGACACUGCAGCUGUGCCAAUCAUUGGCACACGGGCAAGGUGUGGACAUUAAUAGAGUGGCUGAUGGCAGCCAUAUGGACUGUUUGGAAUGAUGCCAGAGAGAUAUCAAAAAUUGUGAGUAAAUGGCAAUCAUAUUCUGAUUUGGUGCAGGUACUCUGGGAGAUGGGCAGGUGACAGGCUAUGUUUUAUCUGAAUAUCCAGGGGCCAGAACGUUUUACCUCCCACAUGAGGGAUCUUGUGCUGGGCUCAGCGCCCCCGAGUGCUUUUGGCUAGAGUGCUUUUAGCACCCCCAUAUAUGGGGCACCGCAUAUAUGAAGUGACUACUGGCUGAGGUAGUAGACACAACACAGAGAAGCUCCCCACCUGGCUCUCAGCUACUAUUGUUUGUGUAGGGUAUAAAUGUAACGCUGACCCUGUGAGGGGCUGCUGAAUUGGCUUGUAGGCGAUUGGCCCAUUUGGGGCUAAGCGAUGUGGCAAGACCUCUGGGAAAUAGGUCAUCAGAAAUAGGUAACUAUUAUGUGUCAGGUCAUGUGCCUUUGGCCACCCCCUGUAAUGUUGAGGCGGAUGCCUUAGCCAAGGUCUGAUGGUUAGAGUCGGCACCUACACAAGAUGUAGCUUUGUGGCUACACAGGAAACUGGGACAGUUUCUGAACUGAUGUACUGAACUGAUGUAACAGGUCAGUAGGUACUGGGGUCUGUCUUUGCCUUCGCAGGACACUUUGGAGGCCUGCCGGAAGUGCCAGGCAUGCGCCCAGGCAUACCCCAGACGGAGACAGCUGCCCACUGUAACACAGCGAGUGACGUGGUAGAUUGGCGGCUCCAACAGCAUCGUAGACUGGGCCCACACCUACGCCGAGGUGACCAAUGUCUCCAACUGUUGGAUCUGCACCGCCCUUCCAGCAGCAGCUGCAGACAGCUGGCCCUGGCAUGUGCAUCCAGCUUCUGUGAAGAACCGGACAUAGCUAGAGACUUGAGGUCCCACAGACAAUGCGUGGGAUGCAACACAGUGGGCUUUGGAUGGGGGCAUGGCAAACCCCAUGGCGAGCCUGCCCCCUGGCUGACUCGCAGUGUCCAUGAUGAAUGGGGCUGGUUAAUGGGAAACACAUAGUGCCCCCAUUGCAGGUACCAUGAUGUAUAGAGAAGCACUGGGGUAAUGUCACUGUAGGAUGGUUGCCUGCUGAGGUUUGUGCAAAUAAAACAUGUGUCACCACACCAAGGGUGUGGAGGAACAAGCGACCUUACCAAGGCCGGGCCCCCAUGGACUUUGUGCCCCCUGGGAAUUUAUGGGU